Molecule: ribosomal RNA, 1505 nt
Filed under: Escherichia coli
Lineage: Bacteria; Pseudomonadati; Pseudomonadota; Gammaproteobacteria; Enterobacterales; Enterobacteriaceae
Description: partial 23S ribosomal RNA
Rfam family: Bacterial large subunit ribosomal RNA
Source: RNAcentral
GGGUUGUGAGGUUAAGCGACUAAGCGUACACGGUGGAUGCCCUGGCAGUCAGAGGCGAUGAAGGACGUGCUAAUCUGCGAUAAGCGUCGGUAAGGUGAUAUGAACCGUUAUAACCGGCGAUUUCCGAAUGGGGAAACCCAGUGUGUUUCGACACACUAUCAUUAACUGAAUCCAUAGGUUAAUGAGGCGAACCGGGGGAACUGAAACAUCUAAGUACCCCGAGGAAAAGAAAUCAACCGAGAUUCCCCCAGUAGCGGCGAGCGAACGGGGAGCAGCCCAGAGCCUGAAUCAGUAUGUGUGUUAGUGGAAGCGUCUGGAAAGGCGCGCGAUACAGGGUGACAGCCCCGUACACAAAAAUGCACAUGCUGUGAGCUCGAUGAGUAGGGCGGGACACGUGGUAUCCUGUCUGAAUAUGGGGGGACCAUCCUCCAAGGCUAAAUACUCCUGACUGACCGAUAGUGAACCAGUACCGUGAGGGAAAGGCGAAAAGAACCCCGGCGAGGGGAGUGAAAAAGAACCUGAAACCGUGUACGUACAAGCAGUGGGAGCACGCUUAGGCGUGUGACUGCGUACCUUUUGUAUAAUGGGUCAGCGACUUAUAUUCUGUAGCAAGGUUAACCGAAUAGGGGAGCCGAAGGGAAACCGAGUCUUAACUGGGCGUUAAGUUGCAGGGUAUAGACCCGAAACCCGGUGAUCUAGCCAUGGGCAGGUUGAAGGUUGGGUAACACUAACUGGAGGACCGAACCGACUAAUGUUGAAAAAUUAGCGGAUGACUUGUGGCUGGGGGUGAAAGGCCAAUCAAACCGGGAGAUAGCUGGUUCUCCCCGAAAGCUAUUUAGGUAGCGCCUCGUGAAUUCAUCUCCGGGGGUAGAGCACUGUUUCGGCAAGGGGGUCAUCCCGACUUACCAACCCGAUGCAAACUGCGAAUACCGGAGAAUGUUAUCACGGGAGACACACGGCGGGUGCUAACGUCCGUCGUGAAGAGGGAAACAACCCAGACCGCCAGCUAAGGUCCCAAAGUCAUGGUUAAGUGGGAAACGAUGUGGGAAGGCCCAGACAGCCAGGAUGUUGGCUUAGAAGCAGCCAUCAUUUAAAGAAAGCGUAAUAGCUCACUGGUCGAGUCGGCCUGCGCGGAAGAUGUAACGGGGCUAAACCAUGCACCGAAGCUGCGGCAGCGACGCUUAUGCGUUGUUGGGUAGGGGAGCGUUCUGUAAGCCUGUGAAGGUGUGCUGUGAGGCAUGCUGGAGGUAUCAGAAGUGCGAAUGCUGACAUAAGUAACGAUAAAGCGGGUGAAAAGCCCGCUCGCCGGAAGACCAAGGGUUCCUGUCCAACGUUAAUCGGGGCAGGGUGAGUCGACCCCUAAGGCGAGGCCGAAAGGCGUAGUCGAUGGGAAACAGGUUAAUAUUCCUGUACUUGGUGUUACUGCGAAGGGGGGACGGAGAAGGCUAUGUUGGCCGGGCGACGGUUGUCCCGGUUUAAGCGUGUAGGCUGGUUUUCCAGGCAAA